GAAUAUUGGACAAUGGGGGGAACCCUGAUCCAGCCAUGCCGCGUGUGUGAAGAAGGCCUUUUGGUUGUAAAGCACUUUAAGCGAGGAGGAGGCUACUCUAGUUAAUACCUAGGGAUAGUGGACGUUACUCGCAGACUAAGCACAGGCUAACUCUGUGCCAGCAGCCGCGGUAAUACAGAGGGUGAAAGCGUAAUCGGAUUUACUGGGCGUAAGUCGCGCGUAGGUGGCCAAUUAAGUCAAAUGUGAAAUCCCCGAGCUUAACUUGGGAAUUGCAUUCGAUACUGGUUGGCUAGAGUAUGGGAGAGGAUGGUAGAAUUCCAGGUGUAGCGGUGAAAUGCGUAGAGAUCUGGAGGAAUACCGAUGGCGGAGGCAGCCAUCUGGCCUAAUACUGAUACUGAGGUGCGAAAGCAUGGGGAGCAAACAG
This 424-nucleotide ribosomal RNA is filed under the name uncultured bacterium. RNAcentral describes it as "bacterial SSU rRNA". It matches the Rfam family "Bacterial small subunit ribosomal RNA", at positions 359 to 775 of the family's 1533-position model. The record is from RNAcentral.